GCUAGGUAGUAUGCUCAGAACUAGAGUUACAGAGAUGAGCAGAGCAGAACACAGAUCUCUUCUGAAGUUCUGGUCUGUAGUGUGCUAUGAAGUUCAGGUGUCUGCACUAAGUUCAAUAUCAGUAUGGCCUCCUGGGAACAGGGUGCCACUAGGUUGCCUAAGGAAGGGUGAACUGGCACAGAUCAGAAACAGAGCAGAUCAAAGCUCUCGUGCUGAUCAGUAGUGGGAUUGUGCCUGUGAAUAGCCACUGCCCUACAGCCUGGGCAACAUAGUGAGACCCUGUCUCUC
Molecule: signal recognition particle RNA, 288 nt
Filed under: Pongo abelii (Sumatran orangutan)
Lineage: Eukaryota; Metazoa; Chordata; Mammalia; Primates; Hominidae
Rfam family: Metazoan signal recognition particle RNA (bases 64-259)
About the family: The signal recognition particle (SRP) is a universally conserved ribonucleoprotein. It is involved in the co-translational targeting of proteins to membranes.
Source: RNAcentral